This 265-nucleotide long non-coding RNA is filed under the name Spirodela polyrhiza (greater duckweed). RNAcentral describes it as "long non-coding RNA (SPOL_LNC001771)". Lineage: Eukaryota; Viridiplantae; Streptophyta; Magnoliopsida; Alismatales; Araceae. The record is from RNAcentral.
CGGGUGACCCGGGUUCGAUCCCCGGCAACGGCGAUUUCUAAGAACUCUUUUGAAAUAACUUCGCAUAAUCAUUUUAUUAACUGUUGCCAAAUAGCAGUUCGUUAGACAAAAAUCAAUCACUCAUUUUUUAUGCCGUAGACGAAUAUUUUAUAAAAACGAGAAAAAAGCCAUAAAUGAAAACUCCAUAAUAAUAAAUUUUUUGAUGCUUUGAAAUUACAUUGAAAAGAUAUGUAGAAAAAAUAUAUUGAACUGCACACAUAGACAC